This is a long non-coding RNA of Mauremys reevesii (Reeves's turtle), 1169 nucleotides long. RefSeq lists it as uncharacterized. The transcript is spliced from 3 exons. The record is from RefSeq and is a predicted model, not a curated record. Lineage: Eukaryota; Metazoa; Chordata; Testudines; Geoemydidae.
GAACAUUUGAGGCUUAUUAGGAGUAGGGACUUGCAAUGGGGUGUCCCCUCCACACUUGUCCUGAAAGGGUUAAUGUAGGCUAAGACGAGUCAAUUAACCAGACAGGCCACAGCUGAGGGAAAACAGGUGGCUUAAGUACUCCCCUGAGUGAUGGCAGGAGCCUAGCUGAGGAGGAAAGAGCUGGGUUGGGUUUAUAAAGAAGCUGCUAGUAGAGAGAGGACUGUAGCCCCUCCUGGGAAGAUGGGAAAAGCAAAUAAAGUAUUUUAUGAGAAUUUGUGACCAGCAAGAGUUGGUGGCUGCACACUGAGGCUACCAGAAAUGUUGAGAACCCCUGGCUUGGAGGCUGGCAAACCCAGAGAUGGUGAAGAACCUGAAGCCCUGCCCCAAGAUGAAAGGCUGGGAGUUACUGAUGACAUCCAUCCCCUGGGAGACUUCACUCAUUCACGUGAUUUCAAUGACCAUCUCUAUGCCACUGACUCUUGAAUCCACCUCUUCCCGUCUCUUGUACAGCCCAGUUCUGCCCCUCUGUGUGCCUUUCUAUCUUGGGUGGGGGGAAAGGAGGCCUUCCCAUCCACUUAAACUUAACAUGCUCAGCUCAGAAUUGCUGCUCUUCACUGCAGUAAUAUCUAGUACUUGCCACUUAAACAUUGGACAUUACUAUCACUAAGUAACUGAAUUACUAUUACUUUUCCUUAGUAAGUGAAUUACUACCUAAUUACAAGAAAUUACUAAGAGCAAUUCUAAUCCCAUUAUUAAAUACAAAUUACUAACAUUAGUGAAAAUUACUGUUCCUGAGAGAUUGCCAACAACUGACCGACUUUAGUGACAAGACACAUUUUAGUACAGAUAGUGGAUAUUGUAAUAGGUUAGCAAGUAGACACCAUACAACAAAGACUAAUCCUCAACUGCACCAUGCAAGCCAGCCUGUUGUAUCGAAUGCAGCCUGGUUUUGCCAGCUGAUCUUCUCCUUUAAUGUCCUGCCUCACUGACCUACUUCUUCAAUCUCAUGCUGAAGAUGAUCCCAAACAUUUCUGUACUGUGAAAUAUUAAAUGAAGCCUGUUUUAUGGCUAUUGUAUUGUUUACAGCCAAUUCCACAGCUAUAUGGAGUAACUCCCAGGAUUUCUCAUUCAGUGUGAAAUGUCCCUAUAAAUAUUGUUGGCGUCUCCAU